Homo sapiens (human) is the source of this 989-nucleotide long non-coding RNA. RefSeq lists it as uncharacterized. The transcript is spliced from 3 exons. NCBI's taxonomy places the organism in Eukaryota, Metazoa, Chordata, Mammalia, Primates, Hominidae. The record is from RefSeq and is a predicted model, not a curated record.
GUCAUAGGCCCUGGGUUGGAGAAGUCAAAACAAAGGUCACCAUGUUGUUCUGAGCCUAAGGGGUCUUUGUGAGAUCUUGCACUACAAACUGCAGCCAAGGGGAUCCCGAAUGGGCAAGACUUGAUCCUCAUACUGGUGAAACCUCCUGAGUCCCCAGGGACCCUGUCAGACCAGGCUCCAGCCUCCCUGCGGUCUCUGAGAGAGAAUGUGGCUAGUUCUGCCCCACGGCUCCCUGGCAGUCCAGCGGUCAGAAGUGGCCACGCAGAACCCAACAUUCAGCCUGGGUGCAGACACUGCCUCUAGCCUCCUCCCCAAGCACUCUCCUAGUAUGGCAAAACAGCCCUUGAGAGAUUGCAGAAAGCCAUCAACCUUGAAGAUAACAGGAGCCCUCCCAAGGAAAUGUGUUCAGGAGACCUUCUAAGACCAUGCCAUUUCCUGGGUCCCUCUCCCAGUGGGGAAAUUCUCCCAGUAGCAGAUUCUGGCAGACAGCAGAGACACACUCUAUGCCCAACACUAGGCACCGGAUGGAUGAGAUAAUCAUAAAUCCACAAACUGCAACAAGAUAAAAUUAUCAUUAGAUGAAGUUAAAUUAUUAAUUAGCACCUCCAAAAAAAGACCGGCACCACCUGGGCUUGAAUCUUGGAAGCUGUCUUUCUGAAAGCAAGAGAAACAUCAAAAUAGUUUAUCGAUGCUCUGUGGUGUGGGUAUAGCCUAUGGUUCCCAGAAGCCUGAUGGUCAGAGGUCCCACCAGGCAGGCCUGCCCCGCCUGCCCUCUUCUUGCAGUGUUGCCAGAAAUAGCCAGUUUGGAUAAUGUUACUAGGGAAAGGGAAGCAACUAAUGUGACCCAUUUUUAUGACUGGAGAAACUGAGGCAAAGGACGAGGCAGAAAGGCCACAGAAGAUGGCUCAGGGUGGGCUGAAGAAUUUGUGUACUGGGUUGGGAAGGGGUAGGUCCUCAGAUUGCCUGAUUAUCUAAGGACUAAGGAACAC